CAUCUUUUCUUGUAUUUUAUUUGAAAUUUGGCCUGCCCAAUGAUAAUUUAUUUAAUGGCCGCGGUAAUUUGACCGUGCAAAGGUAGCAUAAUCAUUAGUUCAUUAAUUGUGGACUUGUAUGAAUGGCUGGACGAAAUAUUGACUGUCUCACAUUUAAAUAUGGAAUUUAAAUUUUGAGUUAAAAUGCUUAAAUUUUUUUGGAGGACGAGAAGACCCUAUAGAUCUUUAUUUUUUAUGUUUUAAGUUAAUUUAGUUUUUUUAUUAUUUAUGAUUUAAAAUAUUUUAUUGGGGUGAUAUUGAGAUAAAUUUAACUCUUAUUUAUAUUAUACAUUUAUUUUUGUUUAUUUGACCUUCUAUUAUUGUUUGAAGAUAUAGAUACCUUAGGGAUAACAGCGUAAUUCUUUUUGAGAGUUCAAAUCGACAAGAGAGAUUGCGACCUCGAUGUUGGAUUAAGAUAAUAAAUAGGUGUAGGUGUUUAUUUGUUAAGUCUGUUCGACUUUUAAAAUCUUACAUGAUCUG
Molecule: ribosomal RNA, 519 nt
Filed under: Asceles tanarata singapura
Lineage: Eukaryota; Metazoa; Arthropoda; Insecta; Phasmatodea; Lonchodidae
Description: partial 16S ribosomal RNA
Rfam family: Bacterial large subunit ribosomal RNA
Source: RNAcentral